RNAcentral lists this long non-coding RNA (1419 nucleotides) under Macaca fascicularis (crab-eating macaque). Its description in RNAcentral is "lncRNA (ENSMFAG00000062487.1)". The record is from RNAcentral. Lineage: Eukaryota; Metazoa; Chordata; Mammalia; Primates; Cercopithecidae.
UUUGUUCUGGGGCACUUGUAAAAUGCGAUUUGUAGAGGGUCUUUAGCCUUCUGAUUGUCUUUGAAUUGUUUUUACUGAAACAGAUCUUUUGCAGUUAAUGAGUCCCCACGGAGCUGGACAGCUCCUCUCGGACACUGAGAACUCUAACCCCAAAAUGACCCCAAUUUGACACCGCAAGAUGAAAUUUUACCGCCUGUUAAAACCAUUUCCAGCCUGGGCAGAAGGAGCUGACUGUUGACGGAGGUGUGUGCCACCUCCUGCGACCCCCAUUUCGUGCCUGUCUCCCGGGCCUGCCCCACCUACUUUCCUUUCACCCCAAAUGUGGGAGAGCAGAUGAGCCUGGAAGCCUGGGUGGGAGUGCCAACGCUGACAAUGGGGCAUUAGCAAAAUGCCACCAGGAUGGAAAUCAGAAAGUGCGGGUACUCUACUCCUUUGGAAUCGCUUCUAUUGGACUGGAAAAUUGGGGAUGGGGGAAACCAGGAAAUUCUUAAAUGUUAGAUGAGCUUUUUUCAGCUCUAUUAAUAAAACACCAGCAAGUCGCUGAUUAAAGGUAACAGUCCUUUGAAUUCAUCAGACUGACCAAGAACCAAUACCUUGAAUCGACUCCAACUUGAUCUCCUCGUGUGUAAUCCACUACACUAGGACUUCUAUUUUAAACUAACAGUUUCAUAAGUGACAUGCAACUAGGUAAGUAAGAUCUCUUUCGUUCAAAGAAAUUCUGGGUUCUCCCCUGAGACAACUGGCAAAUUUUUAAAAGACAGAUUUCCUACAGUAGGAAUGCACUUUUAACACUCUCACACUUUUUAAACUAAAAGUCGUUGAAGUUAAAUAUGAUUUUUUGACAAUAUCUUAAAAUGUCAUAUUUCUCUCUCCCUCCUACACCUAACCAUAUUGUCCCUGUUGUUUGCUUUAAUGUAUUCAAUAAAAUGCAAAAGACGUUAAGAAUAUGAAAAAGAGAGAGAGAAAGGCGUUAAGGUUAAAAAUGCCUUCUGCAUCUGAUGAAGACACAUGAAAAGAAAGUUUAAACUUUUCUUUUUUUGUAAAACCCAAGAUUAUCACUGGAUAAUCAACUUAUUAUUAGCUUACGAUUGUUUGAAAAUAUAGAAAUCGGCCGGGUGGGAUGGCUCACGCCUGUAAUUCGAGCACUUUGAGAGGCCGAGGCGGGUGGAACACGAGGUCAAGAGUUCGAGACCAGUCUGGCCAACAUGGUGAAAACCACCGCCCCCCACCCGUCUCUACUAAAGACACAAAAAAUUAGCCAGGCGUGGUGGCGCACGCCUGUAAUCCCAGCUCCUCAAGAGGCUGAGGCAGGAGAAUCGCUUGAACCCGGGAGGCGGAGGUUGUAGUGAGCCGAAAUCGCGCCACUGCACUCCAGCCUGGGCGACACGGCGAGAUUCCGUCUCAGAAAAAAAAAAAAAA